RNAcentral lists this transfer RNA (73 nucleotides) under Canis lupus familiaris (dog). It matches the Rfam family "tRNA". From Rfam's summary of the family: Transfer RNA (tRNA) molecules are approximately 80 nucleotides in length. Their secondary structure includes four short double-helical elements and three loops (D, anti-codon, and T loops). RNAcentral also lists the same sequence under 2 other names. Lineage: Eukaryota; Metazoa; Chordata; Mammalia; Carnivora; Canidae. The record is from Rfam by way of RNAcentral.
CCCUGGCUGUCUCAGUAGGUAGAGUAUGUGACUUUUAAUCUCAGGGUUGUGAGUUCAAGCCUCAUGUUGGGUG